Long non-coding RNA from Macaca mulatta (Rhesus monkey), 853 nucleotides. RefSeq lists it as uncharacterized. The record is from RefSeq and is a predicted model, not a curated record. Lineage: Eukaryota; Metazoa; Chordata; Mammalia; Primates; Cercopithecidae.
UAGGCGGAAAGAACUUGCCUUGUCUUAGAUAACAUUUUGGACUAUGGACCUUUGAAUUAAUGCUGAAAUGAGUUAAGACUUGACAGGAUUGUUGGCUGGCUGAAUUUGCGGAGACCCGACUUUGCCCUUGCAUGUGUGAAAAAUGGCCUCAAGUAUGACACCAUGGCAAGAUGGAAAGAAACUGUGCUCUUGAAUAGCUUAGAGAUUCAGAGCCCCUCAUCAGCUUGAAAUGCCCACCUCAAAACAAUGACAUGAGAAGAAACAAACCUCUAAUUUAAGCCACUGUCUUUUUAAGAGCAUUGUAGUUUGAGAUAUCUUUCUUUCAGCUGUUUAGGCCCCAGCUAACCACUUAUUGAUCUUAUCUUACAGGUCAAGAAAAAUGCAGUUCUGGGGGACAAGUCACUAAUAUAAAUGUAUUAGAAAUUUUCCAGCUCUCCCUCCUUGCCCAGCAGAGUAUAUUUCCACUCAAACACAGUGAACCCGUCUGGAAUGGGACAAAACAAAAUGGGGUGGGCCUGGGACAAGAGAAUGUUCAGCUACACAGGAUCCAGGUCAAAACUCUUUAAUCCUCCCAUUUCUGGAUCUCAAAUGAGCACCUUUCAUCUAAGAGUUCUCCUCAAGAGGUUUGCUUUCCCACAGCAGCUUGUCAACAGUGUAAGAAGUUCCAAAAGAGCUUUUGGGGUUGUAGGUUAUGUGGCAUCACCCCAGCUUGUCUCAACACCUCUGAUGAACAGUAGCAGAAGAAAGGACUGUUUCCACAUGAGCUCCCCGGUGGUCCCCAUCUCUUAGGGAGUUUAUAAAAAAAUCCAUCAUCUUGUUCUACUAAACCCAAAUAAAUAUAAUUAACACCAAA